This 475-nucleotide ribosomal RNA is filed under the name uncultured bacterium. RNAcentral describes it as "partial 16S ribosomal RNA". It matches the Rfam family "Bacterial small subunit ribosomal RNA", at positions 30 to 507 of the family's 1533-position model. The record is from RNAcentral.
AUUGAACGCUGGCGGCAUGCCUUACACAUGCAAGUCGAACGGUAACAGGUUAAGCUGACGAGGCGAACAGGUGAGUAAUGUAUCUGAACGUGCCCAGUCGUGGGGGAUAACUGCUCGAAAGAGCAGCUAAUACCGCAUACGACCUGAGGGGGAAAGCGGGGGAUCGCAAGACCUCGCGCGAUUUGAGCGGCCGAUAUCAGAUUAGGUAGUUGGUGAGGUAAAGGCUCACCAAGCCGACGAUCUGUAGCUGGUCUGAGAGGACGACCAGCCACACUGGGACUGAGACACGGCCCAGACUCCUACGGGAGGCAGCAGUGGGGAAUUUUGGACAAUGGGCGCAAGCCUGAUCCAGCCAUGCCGCGUGCGGGAAGAAGGCCUUCGGGUUGUAAACCGCUUUUGUCAGGGAAGAAAAGGUUCUGGCUAAUACCUGGGACUCAUGACGGUACCUGAAGAAUAAGCACCGGCUAACUACGUG